UACUUUGGCAGAAAAAAAAUGUAUUAAAUUUAGAAUUUAAGUAUAUAAUGUUUAAUUAUAGGUAAUA
This 67-nucleotide transfer RNA is filed under the name Adelges tsugae (hemlock woolly adelgid). Its description in RNAcentral is "tRNA-Leu". Lineage: Eukaryota; Metazoa; Arthropoda; Insecta; Hemiptera; Adelgidae. The record is from RNAcentral.